This 1377-nucleotide ribosomal RNA is filed under the name Triticum aestivum (bread wheat). Its description in RNAcentral is "partial small subunit ribosomal RNA". The record is from RNAcentral. Lineage: Eukaryota; Viridiplantae; Streptophyta; Magnoliopsida; Poales; Poaceae.
AUGUCGAUGCCGUUCCGCUUGCCCGCCGCUUCCUUCCGGCCCCCGACCCUGCAGGAACCAUCGUACGCCGCCGACUCCGCCUCCCGGCGCCCCGGCUCCCCCGACUGGGUUUUACUGCAGCAACUGUCGUACAUCUCCGACCGCCGGAACGCCACCACCGCCGAGUCCAAGACGAGUGACGGCCAGGCCGUAGCGCUGUCCUUCUGGCUCGUGGAUCCGCCAGGCGUCUCCUACUUCACCGUCCACUGCCCCGGCCUCAAGGAGGACGACGAUGAUGAUCACUCCUACACACACUACGAGGCCUCGGUCAUCUGCGCCGAGGGCGCCCUCGUUCUCUUCAGCGUAACUUUAAGCUCCGCUUGGAAUAGCCGCUACGAGUAUUUUGUCUACCGAGCUGGCCCUGGGAAGCCAUCGCUGGACCUACUUCCGGACCCCAACAUUCGAGGCUUCGUAGCCGAGGAGUUCGGCCUCUUGCCCUGCGGCGACGCCCACGGCGGGCACUACGCCGUGGCCUAUCUCAACUGGGUUCCCAACGCCGGUGAUGAUCCAUGGCAGUUCGACGCCCACGUCUUCUCGUCGGAGACGCGGGCGUGGACCGCUAGGCGAGCCUCCCAGAGCCUAUCGGAGUCUGACAAGCUAUUGCUGGGUGACCACGACACCGGCAAGCAGAUCACCGUGGGAGCAGGCUCGCUGGGCUGGGUUGAUAUCAUCCGCGGCAUCCUCCUGGUUGCCAACCUGUUCGACGAGCAUCCCGUGAUCCAGUACAUCCCAUUGCCUGAGCCAAGGGUUCGCACCACCGACGAGGACGGUGGCAUUUUCUACUGCGCAGAUCUCCCCGAGUAUAUCCGCGAUGUCACCUGCUGCGACGGCCUGAUCAAGCUCGUCGACAUCGACUUCUACGGCGGCGAUGGUGGGAGCGAUGAAGGCUGGAUAGCCACCACGUUUACCAGGAUGGUGUCUUGGGACGAUUGGCGCCGGAGCUUCACGGUCGACGCCGCCGACAUCUCGGUUGACCCGAGCUAUCGGGCUUUGCUGCCUGACCUGUGGAACGACAAGGCCAAGCAACUGGACCUGAAGAAGCUUGCUUACUACGGCCCAACCCUGAGCACGCAGGAUGAUGACUUCGUCUACAUGAUGGCUAGGGUGAACGAUGAAGACGACAAGGCCUGCGUCAUCGCUGUUGACAUGAAACGUGCGGCUGUGGAGGCAGUGGCGCCGUUCUCCGACCAAGGACGCCGCGGCAUCACAACGUACUCCAUGCGCCUUCCCCAAGUACAUCGACACGACGACGGACGACAGACCGGUGAUUCUUCCUUCUUUCACAUGUGGUUACUCAGGAAUUCUAUGCCUCCUGCUCUUGGUUUCUCUGCUGGUUAA